This 392-nucleotide unclassified non-coding RNA is filed under the name soil metagenome. RNAcentral describes it as "partial contains 5.8S ribosomal RNA, internal transcribed spacer 2, and large subunit ribosomal RNA". The stretch from base 1 to 122 matches the Rfam family "5.8S ribosomal RNA", at positions 35 to 154 of the family's 154-position model. The record is from RNAcentral.
GAUGAAGAACGCAGUGAAAUGCGAUACUUGGUGUGAAUCGCAGAAUCCCGUGAACCAUCGAGUCUUUGAACGCAAGUUGCGCCCGAAGCCAUUAGGCCGAGGGCACGCCUGCCUGGGCGUCACACGUCGUUGCCCCCCCCAUCUACUCCUUCGGGAUUGCGGGGGGCGGAUGAUGGCCUCCCGUGCGCCUCGCCGCGCGGUUGGCAUAAAUGCCAAGUCCUCGGCGAUGCACGCCACGACAAUCGGUGGUUGCGAAACCUCGGUUGCCCGUCGUGUGCGGUCGUCGCGCAUCGAGGGCUCGAAAAAAUUGCCGGGUUCCGGCUCGGCUUUCAACGCGACCCCAGGUCAGGCGGGGUUACCCGCUGAAUUUAAGCAUAUCAAUAAGCGGAGGA